Molecule: long non-coding RNA, 502 nt
Organism: Phyllopteryx taeniolatus (common seadragon)
Lineage: Eukaryota; Metazoa; Chordata; Actinopteri; Syngnathiformes; Syngnathidae
Exons: 2
Source: RefSeq, a predicted model, not a curated record
GAAUAUAGAAUACUUUAUAUUCUAAUAUGUAAUUCUAUAUGUAAUAGAAUAUAAUAUAGAGUUUCAGGGUCUAACUAGUUUGGAAGAGGAUGUGUAUUACAGUAUAAUCAGAUAAGGGGGUAGGGGUUUUAUUACAGGAAAACCCCCCCAUCGGGUGGUAUUUGGAGACACAUCUCAAGGAAGAAAGGAACUGCGGGGAGCCACUAUAAACAUUGAAUGCAGGAAUGUGAGCCGACAUCUGCAGGCGACACCUGGAGCAGAAGUCUGGAGCCAGAUCAAAUGGUCAUCAUUCUGCAGGACAACGAUGACGUCAGAUUACGGACCAAUCAGACGACAGCGAUUACAUACUGGCCUGUUUGAAACAUUGUAUAAGUCUGGGGUAGAAUCAGAUAGUUUCAGUUCGACUACUUUAUCUGCUAAGGAUAAGAUGGGGUAGUUACGAACCCAGAGCUCUGCAAAUGUAUAGACUCCUCUGUCAGGAAUAAAUUGGUUGGUUUUGAUA